RNAcentral lists this long non-coding RNA (251 nucleotides) under Nicotiana benthamiana. RNAcentral's name for it is "long non-coding RNA (NBEN_LNC001307)". The record is from RNAcentral. Lineage: Eukaryota; Viridiplantae; Streptophyta; Magnoliopsida; Solanales; Solanaceae.
AAGUCGAUGUGAGAGUAAGCCGAUAUUAGCAUCAAUAUUAGCUGCAAGACAUCAAAUCGAAAUCGAUAGCUCCAUGCUGAAGUCAUGCCCUGCUUGUCUUGUGAUGCAUAGGGCUAGGACAUAUGACGUACUCAUUCAUCUGAAGAACCAAGUCAGUGGGGAGCAAAAUUGCUUGAGAUUUCAGAGUAGGAACAGCUCAAAUAGUAUGGAAAGAAGUGUACACUACCAUAACUUCUCAAAAUAGGAGGGGG